CUGGCGGCAUGCCUAAUACAUGCAAGUCGAACGAUGAUAUCACUGCUUGCAGUGAUUGAUUAGUGGCGAACGGGUGAGUAACACGUGAGGAACUUGCCCAUGAGCGGGGGACAACAUUCGGAAACGGAUGCUAAUACCCCAUAGGUGGAUUGGUCGCAUGACUAAUUCAUUAAAGGUGGCUUUGCUACCACUCAUGGAUAGCCUCGCGGCGUAUUAGCUAGUUGGUAAGGUAAUGGCUUACCAAGGCAGUGAUACGUAGCCGACUUGAGAGGGUGAUCGGCCACACUGGGACUGAGACACGGCCCAGACUCCUACGGGAGGCAGCAGUAGGGAAUCUUCCACAAUGGGUGCAAACCUGAUGGAGCAAUGCCGCGUGAGUGAAGAAGGUCUUCGGAUCGUAAAGCUCUGUUGUUAGAGAAGAACACGUGCUAGGUAACUACUAGCGCCUUGACGGUAUCUAACCAGAAAGUCACGGCUAACUACGUGCCAGCAGCCGCGGUAAUACGUAGGUGACAAGCGUUGUCCGGAUUUAUUGGGCGUAAAGGGAGCGCAGGCGGUCUGUUUAGUCUAAUGUGAAAGCCCACGGCUUAACCGUGGAACGGCAUUGGAAACUGACAGACUUGAAUGUAGAAGAGGAAAAUGGAAUUCCAAGUGUAGCGGUGGAAUGCGUAGAUAUUUGGAGGAACACCAGUGGCGAAGGCGAUUUUCUGGUCUAACAUUGACGCUGAGGCUCGAAAGCGUGGGGAGCGAACAGGAUUAGAUACCCUGGUAGUCCACGCCGUAAACGAUGAGUGCUAAGUGUUGGGGGCUUUCCGGCCCUCGGUGCUGGAGCUAACGUAUUAAGCACUCCGCCUGGGGAUUACGACCGCAAGGUUGAAA
RNAcentral lists this ribosomal RNA (879 nucleotides) under Dolosigranulum pigrum. RNAcentral describes it as "bacterial SSU rRNA". It matches the Rfam family "Bacterial small subunit ribosomal RNA", at positions 36 to 899 of the family's 1533-position model. The record is from RNAcentral. Lineage: Bacteria; Bacillati; Bacillota; Bacilli; Lactobacillales; Carnobacteriaceae.